CUUCUGCCUCUGCUCCUCCUCUUCUUGGAACUGCCUUUUGUUUGUCUGGCAGCGUUGGUUCUAUGGGGGUGUGUGAUGAUAAUAAUACGCGGGCUUAUAUAACCUUCUGCAUCUUGCGAGCACUUCUCAGACAGUCCCUAAAGAAUCUUGGGGCUGCUGUCAGGUCCCGCGGCUUAAUCUGCAAAUAGGAAACCCGAGGCCCAGAGAGCAGGAGGUAGGGCAGUGAGGAUCAGAGGGCAGGCCUUCCUGGCUCCCGGAUCUCCUCCGAGGUCAGGGCAGAUAAGGAACAAUGACUCUCCCCUUCUGCGGGAGGAAGGAAGUCCCGCUGCCACCUUAUCUCUGCUCCUCUGCCUCCUCCCUGUUCCCAGAGCUUUUUCUCUAGAGAAGAUUUUGAAGGCGGCUUUUGUGUGACGGCCUCCCAUCGUCAAUUGGAGAAGGCGAAUUUCACAAAUGAGAUGCAGGUUCUUCACGGCAGAAUAAUUGCAGACAGUCUUCAAAGAUACCAGCAAUGCUUCCCUGGGCAGGACAUUGUCCUAGACACAGAGGGGACUCCAUCUGCAGAUGUUCUGAAUACCUCUGAGUCUAGAAAUUGAUUAUUCAACCAGGAUACCUAAUUCAAGACUGCCAGAACUCAGGAGACCAAGACAUUUUGUCAGUUUU
RNAcentral lists this long non-coding RNA (660 nucleotides) under Castor canadensis (American beaver). Its description in RNAcentral is "lncRNA (ENSCCNG00000011837.1)". Lineage: Eukaryota; Metazoa; Chordata; Mammalia; Rodentia; Castoridae. The record is from RNAcentral.